This 253-nucleotide ribosomal RNA is filed under the name uncultured bacterium. RNAcentral's name for it is "partial 16S ribosomal RNA". It matches the Rfam family "Bacterial small subunit ribosomal RNA", at positions 524 to 776 of the family's 1533-position model. The record is from RNAcentral.
UCCGUAGGUGGCGAGCGUUGUCCGGAUUUACUGGGCGUAAAGAGCGCGCAGGCGGUCGUGCAAGUCGCGUGUGAAAGCCCCCGGCUCAACUGGGGAGGGUCACGCGAUACUGCUCGACUCGAAGGCAGGAGAGGGAAGUGGAAUUCCCGGUGUAGUGGUGAAAUGCGUAGAUAUCGGGAGGAACACCAGUGGCGAAGGCGACUUCCUGGCCUGUUCUUGACGCUGAGGCGCGAAAGCUAGGGGAGCAAACGGG